Molecule: transfer RNA, 82 nt
Filed under: Schistocephalus solidus
Lineage: Eukaryota; Metazoa; Platyhelminthes; Cestoda; Diphyllobothriidea; Diphyllobothriidae
Rfam family: tRNA
About the family: Transfer RNA (tRNA) molecules are approximately 80 nucleotides in length. Their secondary structure includes four short double-helical elements and three loops (D, anti-codon, and T loops).
Source: Rfam by way of RNAcentral
GGAUGGUUGGCUCAAUGGUAGGGCAUUGAACUAAUUAAAACUAGAUGACCAAAGCAUUCGGGUUAGGAUCCAGAACUAUCCA